Small nucleolar RNA from Phyllopteryx taeniolatus (common seadragon), 78 nucleotides. RefSeq annotates it as small nucleolar RNA SNORD79. Lineage: Eukaryota; Metazoa; Chordata; Actinopteri; Syngnathiformes; Syngnathidae. The record is from RefSeq and is a predicted model, not a curated record. The transcript has a single exon.
AUCUGUUGAUGAUGAUUUAAAGAAAUAAUGGGAAUCUCUCUGAGAAAGAGUGAAAGAUUAAUUUGAUCUGAUACAGUG